This 253-nucleotide ribosomal RNA is filed under the name uncultured bacterium. RNAcentral's name for it is "partial 16S ribosomal RNA". It matches the Rfam family "Bacterial small subunit ribosomal RNA", at positions 524 to 776 of the family's 1533-position model. The record is from RNAcentral.
UACAGAGGGUGCAAGCGUUAAUCGGAUUUACUGGGCGUAAAGCGUGCGUAGGUGGCUGCGUAAGUCGGAUGUGAAAUCCCCGGGCUUAACCUGGGAAUUGCAUUCGAUACUGCGCGACUAGAGAUCGGUAGAGGGCGGCGGAACUCCAGGUGUAGCGGUGAAAUGCGUAGAUAUCUGGAAGAACACCGAUGGCGAAGGCAACCGCCUGGGCCUGAUCUGACACUGAGGCACGAAAGCGUGGGGAGCAAACAGG